Molecule: long non-coding RNA, 1681 nt
Organism: Larimichthys crocea (large yellow croaker)
Lineage: Eukaryota; Metazoa; Chordata; Actinopteri; Sciaenidae
Exons: 4
Source: RefSeq, a predicted model, not a curated record
UGAUUCCAUAAUUUUUGCCAGGGGUUGUAGUAAGUGACCAUGUAUCUGGUAGUAAAUAUCUCAUGAGGUUGGAUGAACAGAUAACUUUAUUGAUUGAUGGACUGAUUCACUAAUUGACUGUCAUACUUGUUCCAGUCUGGCCACCUCCAGAGCUCUGAUGAGUUACUGCCCAAUGGAGGAGUCAGCAGGAUCAUGUGUUGAUGAAGAUCCAGCUGCUUGCUUUGAGGGAGGAUGUUCUAAUGUCACCUAUGACAUAAAGCCAUCUGCCUGGUCUGAUGAUGAAGUAGCUCACUGGACUUUUCAUAGAGUUUAUCCUCCAUGGUUAAAUGAUGAAGAUCCAGCUGCCAUGUCUUCUGACGGAGCUAAAACAACAGACUGUACUGCUGCAGCCUCAGCCUCCUCUGGUCGAAACUUUCUGAACAGUGUUCGCAAGUUCUUCGGCUGAGUUGCGGCAACAUUUAGUUGCUGCUACCACCCUAAUGUGGAGGACUGAUUAACAUGUACAUUUCUGAGUUGGUUGUGCCCUAGCCUUCCUCUACAUCACUGAUUACCUCUUCCCCUUCAUCUGUAAAUCAAAUAGUAGCAGCUGCCUCAGGCAAAUGCCAACAUUAUGCAGAUUCUCAACUGAUGUGAUUUGUUUUUGCAGGUGAAGCAUAUGGUUGAGGUUCUGGGUCAGCCGGAGGACCACCUGCUCUGUGCUGUAAAUAUACUGAGCACUUCUUCAGUCAGGAGGAAGCUGCUGAUGGUUCAGCAUGCAGGCUGAAGGUCUAUCCAAAAGACGACGUCUGACCACCUCCCGAACUCUGAUAAAUUGCUGCCCAAUGGAGGAAUCAGCAGCCAGGAUGAACACCUCUGGAGCCACCACAUGGUCAACUCAUGAUGAAGAUCCAGCUGCCUGAUCGGAGGGAGAACUUUAAAUGUCACCCAUAAAGCCACCACAGGGUCAUCUUGUCAUGAAGAUCCAGCUGCUUGGUCUUUGGGAGAACUGUCUGAUGUCACCCGUGACACCGAGCCAUCAGACUGGUCUACUGAUGGAGCUCCACUCGAUCCACUUCUGAUGAAGGGUGUUCCCUCUCCAAUGAUGAUGACCUUAGUCUCUGGUCUUUUGAUAGAGUUCUGCCUUCAUGCUCUUUUGACAGAGCGAAAACAACAGACUGCACUGCUGCAGUCUUAGCCUCCUCUGGUCGAAACUUUCUGGACAGUAUUUGUAAGUUCUUUGGCCAAACCACGGCAACCUUUAGUUGUUGCUGCUACACUGUGGAGGACUGAUUACCACGUAUAUUUCUGGCUGUAUAUUUUUUGAGGAACUGUAGCACUGACAUUUUUUUGAAUACAGUUGAUUGUCAUGGAUUAAAGCCAUCUAUCAAUCUAUUAAGUUUAAAUACUUGACCAACACUGUUUUACAGGUUGAUUUUACACUGUUUUUUAAAAGAAAUGCUUAUUUGGACUUUGAACUCACAUCUGUAUGAAGAUGAUAGACAUAAAUCAGUCAGAUGUACCUGAUAAAUAAAACACGUGUUUAUUUACACAAAUAUUUUCAAAUACUAGUCAUCUACAUAAGGACAUAAAAAUAUAUACAGUGAUGUAGGGACUCAAACUGCUCCGUUUUCAGGUCAAUGUAUACAUGUUCUGAUUUAUUUGCAUUUUCAGGUUUUGAAAUGAAAAAAAAAAAAAAAAAAAA